This 228-nucleotide ribosomal RNA is filed under the name uncultured bacterium. RNAcentral's name for it is "partial 16S ribosomal RNA". It matches the Rfam family "Bacterial small subunit ribosomal RNA", at positions 541 to 769 of the family's 1533-position model. The record is from RNAcentral.
UUAUCCGGAUUUACUGGGCGUAAAGGGUGCGUAGGUGGUUUCUUAAGUCAGGAGUGAAAGGCUACGGCUUAACCGUAGUAAGCUCUUGAAACUGGGAAACUUGAGUGCAGGAGAGGAAAGUGGAAUUCCUAGUGUAGCGGUGAAGUGCGUAGAUAUUAGGAGGAACACCAGUAGCGAAGGCGGCUUUCUGGACUGUAACUGACACUGAGGCACGAAAGCGCGGGGAGC